GGACCGGUGUCAGCGGUCGUGUCAGUGACAGGAGAUGGAAUGAAUCUUACUGUAAUCUAUCUCACUCAGCUCUCAACCAAUCACACUCCACUUCCUCUCUCUCACGCGCUCAAUCUCGUUACAUAAAACACUCUCGCAUUCACUUCAGUAAAACGACACCGUUAGUGGCAUGCUUCCCCUAGUCUGAGCGAGUACUGGGCUGUUACAGGUUACAA
Molecule: unclassified non-coding RNA, 215 nt
Filed under: Hevea brasiliensis (rubber tree)
Lineage: Eukaryota; Viridiplantae; Streptophyta; Magnoliopsida; Malpighiales; Euphorbiaceae
Source: RNAcentral